CAUUCAACUAAUAAUAGCAAUCAAACCUAGCAUUGUAUGCCUCCCCUACACACUGACAUCCACCCUAACCAACUAGAUACUUUGAAUCCACAAUCAAUAUUGGAUAAUUUAGGGCAUUUAACAAAUAGUAUCAAUCAAACCCCAACACCAUGCACCUUUACCAUACAUCUGGCAACACCAUGCACCUCUACCAUACAUCUGGCAUUCGCCCUAAUUGACUAAACCUAGCGUCGAGAGUAAGGUUGACUUACCAAGAUUAAGUGUUUUGACUUAUCUAAGUGCCGCAUAAGCUUAGGAAAAGACUAAGUCUGUGAUAGUUGGUAUUAGAGCUCGACUACGAAGUGGGCACAGUAAAGAAAGCAUGUCGGGCUCUAACAUGGAUGAGACUAGUGAGCAAACCCAUGGGAGGGAGACCGAGCCUACUGCAUGGGGCAAGGGCAAAAAAGCUAAAUCUCGUGAUGUUGUUACCAACAUGGAGGCAAGGUUAGCCAAGGUGGAGCGAGCCAUGACAGACACUCGGGAGGGGUUGGACUUGAUCGAGCAAGGCAUGGAGAAGGGUAUGAAGGAUCUUAGGCAACAGAUCCAAGACCUUCAUGAGGGGAUGCUAGUCUCACAAGUUCAGCCGGUGUCACACGAGGAGUUUAUGUCCUUCCAAGAAAAGGUCUUGAGCAUGCUUGCUAGCAUGGAGUCAAGGAUGGAGGCCUUGGCCACUCGAAUGGAGUCCCAAGACCAGGAGGUUAGGUAGGAGUUGGCCAUCUACAAGGCUAUUGUGUCGGCACGGGUCAUGGCCACAUAGGAAACAUCUAGGGUGGAGGUGCUGAAGCCACAAGGGUUUAAUGGCAAGCGGGAUGCCAAGGAGUUGAACAACUUCUUAUGGCAUAUGGAGUGAUAUUUCGAGGCUAUCGCAUUGACUGAUGAGGUGACUAAGGUAAGGAUUGCAACCCUUUACCUUACUGACACAACUACUCUAUGGUGGUGUCAGAGGUUUGCCAAUAUGGAGAAAGACAUUUGCACCAUAGAGACGUGCGAAGACUUCAAGAGGGAGAUCAAGAAGCAGUUCUACCCUGAGGACGUAGCUUACAUGGCUAGGAAAAACAUGAGGCGUCUCAAGUGCACAUGCUUGAUACUCGACUAUGUUAAGGAAUUCUCUUCGCUCAUGCUUGAGAUUCUUAACAUGAUUGAGGAGGAGUUGCUAUUCAACUUCAUGUAUAACUUGCAAGGGUGGGCUGAGUAGGAAUUAAGGCGCCGAGGUGUUCAAGACUUAGCCACUGUUAUGGCAGUAGCAGAGUCUUUAAUGGAUUACAAGAGGGGAGACUCAUCCAAGGUUGAGUCUUUGGGAGAUAGCCACGCCACGGGUGGGAGAGACAAGGUUUCAAGGGACCAUAAUGCUCUUAGAAUGGGAUUAGGCAAGACGCCUAAUGUUCGGGAAGGAAGGGGUAAGGCAAAAAGGAAGGAGUUUAUGCCUAAAAUCAAAUGCUUCCUAUGUGAAGGUUCAUAUUAGGCAUGAGAUUGUCUAAAGAGGAACGCACUUAAUGCCAUGAUCGAGGAGAGGGAACAAGAAGGCGAAGCACAUAUGAGCUUGAUGCAGUUACUAGGUGCCCUCCAAGUCAACCUAAAGCCUAGUACGCCUAAGACCUCCUUAUUAUCAGGAGUGCAAGUAAAUGAGGUAAAAUGGUAGCGAGCUGAGGUAACCCGCACACACAUGGACAAGGUCACUAAGGAAAAUGUGAACUUGAUGGGUAAGAGGAAGCAACACUCCAAGCAUCGAAAGUACAGGUGUCUGCAUCCAACCCAAGCCUGACGGGAGAAUAAGGUGAAGAAUAUCCUAGUUGAAUGGGUCACUAGGAGACAAGGGGUCCCUCCUAUGAUAGAGUAUAUAGUCCAAUGGAAAUGACUACUUAAGAGGCAGACAAGCUAGGAACAUGCGAAUUCCUUGAGAAGGUUUUGGAAACACAUGGAGAGGUUUCAAGAAGAGGCAAUGACAGAGACGUCAACAUCAUAGGUGGGGGGAGUGUCACAAGAUGCUUCAAAUGACCCUCCUCAUGGGCUUAUAUAGGAGGUGGGAAGCUUCUAGAGACCCUUAGAGACAUCUACACUUAACUACAAAGUGGAAGAGUAUGAAAACUUCUAGAGAGGGCUAGAGAUGUCCACAAUUCUCUACACUUGGCUAAGAGAGCAUUGGAAUAGUGUGGGGUGUUCUAGAAUAUUCUAAAGUCAUCUUGUACAUACCCUUGUACAUAGACUAGUGUAGGAGCUUCUAGAUUAUUCUUGAUUUGUAGGGAACCCUUCAAGGUUUUAGAGAUUUCCUAAGGUGCCUAUAAAUAGGUUAAGGCCUCAUUUGGCCAAGGCACCACCCAAAAACCACCCAAGAACCUAACCAACCAAGCAAAUGAGUUCCAAAGUACUUGUAAAGCUUCCUUUGAACAAUAAAGCUUCAGUUGUUUAAGUGUUGCCUACUACGCCCUUAAAGCUUCUAAGUCAGGUGCAUCUUCGCCUAGUAAGCUAAGCAUCGGGAGUAAGGUUGACUUAGCAAGAUCAAGUGUCUUGACUUGUCUAAGUG
Molecule: long non-coding RNA, 2560 nt
Filed under: Vitis vinifera (wine grape)
Lineage: Eukaryota; Viridiplantae; Streptophyta; Magnoliopsida; Vitales; Vitaceae
Description: long non-coding RNA (VVIN_LNC005343)
Source: RNAcentral